RNAcentral lists this long non-coding RNA (1379 nucleotides) under Homo sapiens (human). Its description in RNAcentral is "HSALNT0031936". The record is from RNAcentral. Lineage: Eukaryota; Metazoa; Chordata; Mammalia; Primates; Hominidae.
UUCCGGGAUUCAGCACAGUGAUUGCUGGCUGGUUUUUUCCUUGCUUGAUACCCAUCCUGAGCUGUUUAUGUCCUUGUGCCUCUCUUCACAAACCUGCUGUUCAAGGAAAAGUUAGUGGAAGCCGUUAUCCAUGUCAACAUUGAACCAGAAGCCUGAAGUUUGCCUCUAUCAGUUAAUACUAUGCUUUGACAAAUUCCAUGAAGAGCAUGAUUUGCAAGAGGAACUGCUACACAUUUUACACUUAUUUACUCCAACCUUUCCUGCUAAUUCCAGGUUUAUUGAACACGAUAACACAUGUAGAGCAGAGCACUGUGCACCAGUUACUAAUGCCAGAAGAGGACUCUCACUAUAUGGAGGGUAAUGAAGAUCAUCACAAUACCAGCCACCAGGAAUAGAAGUCCAGAUACUUCUGCCCACUGUCUGUUAGUAUUGGAGUCACCAAAAAAUCACAAGUCAAGUACUUGGUGGAAAAUUACUUUACUCACAAAAAGAUACAGAGCAAGAUCAGUUUCGGUAGUGGACAUCUGUCACCAUGGUCCCUCCUAAAAGACAAUGCAGGGCAACUGGCCUAUGAGCACCCAACUAGUGCUACACUAGAAGGACUCUGACACCUCCUCCAUGAAGUAUGAAAUAUCAAAAACUAGGGGCAUGCCUGAGCGCCAUUGAAACACAGUGCUUAAGCAGAACAAAGACGUAAAGACGUACUCAUUGAGUCUGAAACAGAGAAAGAUACUUUCUCACUAAAUCUAAACCUGGGAUAGGUACUGCCUUUCCCAAUACAACAGAUUUUAGUAAAUCCUCCAAAUUUGUUUGACUUUGUUCCAUUUGUUUUGGUAAUUAUCUAUGCUGUCCCUUUCUAUAUACAAUUAGCAUAAGCUAGUCAAUACAACAAAAAUAUAUACAGCAAAUUAGAUUGGGUUUGCAUCAUUCUAUAGAUUAGGAGAAUAUUGAACAUUAUAAAAAUAGUGAAUAUUCCAAUUCAUGAACUCAAUAUAUUUAUUCAUUUACUAAGACAUUCUUGAUUUCUUAUUCAGCAUUCGUAGGUAACAUGCAAAUCCUGUAUCUAUUUUUGUUAACUUUGUACCUACAUAUUUUGUUUUUCCUGAUGCUAUUGUAACUAUUACUUUAAAAUUUAAUUUCCAUGUGCCUAUAGUCCCAACUUCUUGGGAGACUGAGGCAAAAGACUCAGUUGGGCCCAGGAGGGAGUUUGAGUCUAGUCUGGGCAACACAGAACCCCACCUCUAAAAAUUAAAUUAAGUUAAAAUUAAAAAAAAAAAUUUCCAUUUGUUCAUGCCCAUUAUGCAAAUAUGUAAUUGACCUAGUACCCUGGAACAUUCCAAAAUUAUUUUACUAAAUCUGGAGAUUUUGUUAUAGAUCUA